RNAcentral lists this transfer RNA (72 nucleotides) under Cutaneotrichosporon mucoides. RNAcentral's name for it is "tRNA-Lys". It matches the Rfam family "tRNA". From Rfam's summary of the family: Transfer RNA (tRNA) molecules are approximately 80 nucleotides in length. Their secondary structure includes four short double-helical elements and three loops (D, anti-codon, and T loops). Lineage: Eukaryota; Fungi; Basidiomycota; Tremellomycetes; Trichosporonales; Trichosporonaceae. The record is from RNAcentral.
GAGAACAUAACUCAGUGGUAGAGUAGCUGACUUUUAAUCAGUUUGUCGUAGGUUCGAUCCCUACUGUUCUCC